This 429-nucleotide ribosomal RNA is filed under the name Gemmatimonadota bacterium. RNAcentral describes it as "Gemmatimonadetes bacterium partial 16S ribosomal RNA". It matches the Rfam family "Bacterial small subunit ribosomal RNA", at positions 355 to 776 of the family's 1533-position model. The record is from RNAcentral. Lineage: Bacteria; Pseudomonadati; Gemmatimonadota.
UAGGGAAUCUUCGGCAAUGGACGAAAGUCUGACCGAGCAACGCCGCGUGAGUGAAGAAGGUUUUCGGAUCGUAAAACUCUGUUGUUAGAGAAGAACAAGGACGUUAGUAACUGAACGUCCCCUGACGGUAUCUAACCAGAAAGCCACGGCUAACUACGUGCCAGCAGCCGCGGUAAUACGUAGGUGGCAAGCGUUGUCCGGAUUUAUUGGGCGUAAAGCGAGCGCAGGCGGUUUCUUAAGUCUGAUGUGAAAGCCCCCGGCUCAACCGGGGAGGGUCAUUGGAAACUGGGAGACUUGAGUGCAGAAGGGGAGGGUGGAAUUCCAUGUGUAGCGGUGAAAUGCGUAGAUAUAUGGAGGAACACCAGUGGCGAAGGCGGCUCUCUGGUCUGUAACUGACGCUGAGGCUCGAAAGCGUGGGGAGCAAACAGG